RNAcentral lists this ribosomal RNA (600 nucleotides) under uncultured bacterium. Its description in RNAcentral is "bacterial SSU rRNA". The stretch from base 1 to 329 matches the Rfam family "Bacterial small subunit ribosomal RNA", at positions 71 to 392 of the family's 1533-position model. The record is from RNAcentral.
GCUUGCUCCACCGAAAGAAAAGGAGUGGCGAACGGGUGAGUACACGUGGGCAACUGCCCAUCAGAAGGGGAUAACACUUGGAAACGGGUGCUAAUACCGUAUAACAAUCGAAACCGCAUGGUUUUGAUUCUGAAAGGCGCUUUCGGGUGCCGCUGAUGGAUGGACCCGCGGUGCAUUAGCUAGUUGGUGAGGUAACGGGUCACCAAGGCCACGAUGCAUAGCCGACCUGAAGGGUGAUCGGCCACAUUGGGACUGAGACACGGCCACAACUCUUACCGGGAGGCAGCAGUACCGGAAUCUUCGGCAAUCGGACGAAAGUCUGACCGAGCACGCGCGUGAGUGAACGCAAGGCCCGGAUCCGAAAACUCUGUCCGGCAGACGAAGAACAAGGAUCGACAGUCAACCUNGGGACGGCCCCNUUGAACGGGGCGGUCUAAAGCCAGAAAAANGGCCACACGCGGCUCAACUCAACGUUUGGCCCAACACCAGANCCCGCGCGGUCAAUCAACGUCCACGGUGGAGCACACCGCGGUCUCAGGCACCGGGAACNCACUCUCNGGCGCCNAGUUCACACACCCGCGACGCACCAAAAGCAGCGCA